AUUGAACGCUGGCGGCAUGCCUUACACAUGCAAGUCGAACGGCAGCACGGGAGCAAUCCUGGUGGCGAGUGGCGAACGGGUGAGUAAUAUAUCGGAACGUGCCCAGUCGUGGGGAUAACGUAGCGAAAGCUACGCUAAUACCGCAUACGAUCUAUGGAUGAAAGCGGGGGAUCGCAAGACCUCGCGCGAUUGGAGCGGCCGAUAUCAGAUUAGGUAGUUGGUGAGGUAAAGGCUCACCAAGCCGACGAUCUGUAGCUGGUCUGAGAGGACGACCAGCCACACUGGGACUGAGACACGGCCCAGACUCCUACGGAGGCAGCAGUGGGAAUUUUGGACAAUGGGCGCAAGCCUGAUCCAGCAAUGCCGCGUGCAGGAUG
Molecule: ribosomal RNA, 377 nt
Filed under: uncultured bacterium
Lineage: Bacteria
Description: bacterial SSU rRNA
Rfam family: Bacterial small subunit ribosomal RNA
Source: RNAcentral